Molecule: ribosomal RNA, 550 nt
Filed under: uncultured prokaryote
Description: bacterial SSU rRNA
Rfam family: Bacterial small subunit ribosomal RNA
Source: RNAcentral
UGGGGAAUUUUGGACAAUGGGGGCAACCCUGAUCCAGCCAUUCCGCGUGAGUGAAGAAGGCCUUCGGGUUGUAAAGCUCUUUCGCAAGGGAAGAAAACUUAUGAUCGAAUAAAUCAUGAGGUUGACGGUACCUUGAUAAGAAGCACCGGCUAACUACGUGCCAGCAGCCGCGGUAAUACGUAGGGUGCGAGCGUUAAUCGGAAUUACUGGGCGUAAAGCGUGCGCAGGCGGUUUUGUAAGUCGGAUGUGAAAUCCCCGGGCUCAACCUGGGAACUGCGUUCGAAACUGCAAGGCUAGAGUGUGUCAGAGGGGGGUAGAAUUCCACGUGUAGCAGUGAAAUGCGUAGAGAUGUGGAGGAAUACCAAUGGCGAAGGCAGCCCCCUGGGAUAACACUGACGCUCAUGCACGAAAGCGUGGGGAGCAAACAGGAUUAGAUACCCUGGUAGUCCACGCCCUAAACGAUGUCAACUAGUUGUUGGUAGAGUAAAAUCUAUGAGUAACGUAGCUAACGCGUGAAGUUGACCGCCUGGGGAGUACGGUCGCAAGAUUA